This 481-nucleotide ribosomal RNA is filed under the name uncultured Pseudomonadota bacterium. Its description in RNAcentral is "bacterial SSU rRNA". It matches the Rfam family "Bacterial small subunit ribosomal RNA", at positions 355 to 828 of the family's 1533-position model. Lineage: Bacteria; Pseudomonadati; Pseudomonadota. The record is from RNAcentral.
UGGGGAAUUUUGGACAAUGGGCGCAAGCCUGAUCCAGCCGUGCCGCGUGCGGGAAGAAGGCCUUCGGGUUGUAAACCGCUUUUGUCAGGGAAGAAAAGGUUCUGGCUAAUACCUGGGACUCAUGACGGUACCUGAAGAAUAAGCACCGGCUAACUACGUGCCAGCAGCCGCGGUAAUACGUAGGGUGCAAGCGUUAAUCGGAAUUACUGGGCGUAAAGCGUGCGCAGGCGGUUAUGCAAGACAGAGGUGAAAUCCCCGGGCUCAACCUGGGAACUGCCUUUGUGACUGCAUGGCUAGAGUACGGUAGAGGGGGAUGGAAUUCCGCGUGUAGCAGUGAAAUGCGUAGAUAUGCGGAGGAACACCGAUGGCGAAGGCAAUCCCCUGGACCUGUACUGACGCUCAUGCACGAAAGCGUGGGGAGCAAACAGGAUUAGAUACCCUGGUAGUCCACGCCCUAAACGAUGUCAACUGGUUGUUGGGA